UGGCUCAGGACGAACGCUGGCGGCGUGCUUAACACAUGCAAGUCGAACGCUGAAGCCCCAGCUUGCUGGGGUGGAUGAGUGGCGAACGGGUGAGUAACACGUGAGUAACCUGCCCAUCACUCUGGGAUAAGCGCUGGAAACGGCGUCUAAUACUGGAUACGAGCAGCGACCGCAUGGUCAGCUGUUGGAAAGACUGGUUCGGUGAUGGAUGGACUCGCGGCCUAUCAGCUUGUUGGUGAGGUAAUGGCUCACCAAGGCGACGACGGGUAGCCGGCCUGAGAGGGUGACCGGCCACACUGGGACUGAGACACGGCCCAGACUCCUACGGGAGGCAGCAGUGGGGAAUAUUGCACAAUGGGCGCAAGCCUGAUGCAGCAACGCCGCGUGAGGGAUGACGGCCUUCGGGUUGUAAACCUCUUUUAGUAGGGAAGAAGCCUUCGGGUGACG
Molecule: ribosomal RNA, 447 nt
Filed under: Leucobacter tardus
Lineage: Bacteria; Bacillati; Actinomycetota; Actinomycetes; Micrococcales; Microbacteriaceae
Description: bacterial SSU rRNA
Rfam family: Bacterial small subunit ribosomal RNA
Source: RNAcentral